GACGAACGCUGGCGGCGUGCUUAACACAUGCAAGUCGAACGGAAAGGCCCCUUUGGGGGUCCUCGAGUGGCGAACGGGUGAGUAACACUUGAGUAACCUGCCCUUGACUUCGGGAUAACUUCAGGAAACUGGGGCUAAUACCGGAUAGGAAUCCUUGCUGCAUGGUGGGGGUUGGAAAGCUUCGGCGGUUUUGGAUGGACUCGCGGCUUAUCAGCUUGUUGGUGGGGUAGUGGCUUACCAAGGCUUUGACGGGUAGCAGGCCUGAGAGGGCGACCGGCCACAUUGGGACUGAGGGACGGCCCAGACGCCGACGGGAGGCAGCAGUGGGGAAGAUUGCACAAUGGGCGGAAGCCGGAUGCAGCAACGCCGCGUGCGGUAUGACGGCCUUCGGGUUGUAAACCGCUUUCAGCAGGGGCGAAGCUUGUGGUGACGGUACCUGCAGAAGAAGCACCGGCUAACUACGUG
RNAcentral lists this ribosomal RNA (465 nucleotides) under uncultured bacterium. RNAcentral's name for it is "partial 16S ribosomal RNA". It matches the Rfam family "Bacterial small subunit ribosomal RNA", at positions 28 to 507 of the family's 1533-position model. The record is from RNAcentral.